Molecule: ribosomal RNA, 253 nt
Filed under: uncultured bacterium
Lineage: Bacteria
Description: partial 16S ribosomal RNA
Rfam family: Bacterial small subunit ribosomal RNA
Source: RNAcentral
UACGAAGGGGGCGAGCGUUGUUCGGAUUUACUGGGCGUAAAGGGCGCGUAGGCGGCCCUCCUUGUCGCGUGUGAAAGCCCCGGGCUCAACCUGGGAACGGCGCGCGAGACGGGGGGGCUGGAGUUCGGGAGAGGAGCGUGGAAUUCCCAGUGUAGAGGUGAAAUUCGUAGAUAUCGAGAGGAACACCUGCGGCGAAGGCGGGUUGCUGGGCCGACACUGACGCUGAUGCGCGAAAGCCAGGGGAGCGAACGGG